AUUGAACGCUGGCGGCAUGCCUUACACAUGCAAGUCGAACGGCAGCAUAGGAGCUUGCUCCUGAUGGCGAGUGGCGAACGGGUGAGUAAUACAUCGGAACGUGCCCUAGAGUGGGGGAUAACUAGUCGAAAGACUAGCUAAUACCGCAUACGAUCUACGGAUGAAAGUGGGGGAUCGCAAGACCUCAUGCUCCUGGAGCGGCCGAUAUCUGAUUAGCUAGUUGGUGGGGUAAAAGCUCACCAAGGCGACGAUCAGUAGCUGGUCUGAGAGGACGACCAGCCACACUGGGACUGAGACACGGCCCAGACUCCUACGGGAGGCAGCAGUGGGGAAUUUUGGAAAAUGGGGGCAACCCUGAUCCAGCAAUGCCGCGUGAGUGAAGAAGGCCUUCGGGUUGUAAAGCUCUUUUGUCAGGGAAGAAACGGUUCUGGAUAAUACCUGGGACUAAUGACGGUACCUGAAGAAUAAGCACCGGCUAACUACGUGCCAGCCGCCGCCGUAA
This 502-nucleotide ribosomal RNA is filed under the name uncultured bacterium. Its description in RNAcentral is "partial 16S ribosomal RNA". It matches the Rfam family "Bacterial small subunit ribosomal RNA", at positions 30 to 523 of the family's 1533-position model. The record is from RNAcentral.